UUACUAUAUACAUUAUUUUCUUAGCUCUGCUCACUUAACUUUGUAUUAAUUCAUAUGUCUUUCCAGGUUUUUCUGAACUCAUCUUGUUCAUUAUUCCUUAUGAGUCAAUAGAAUUAUCUUACAAUCAUUUACCACCACUUGUUUAUUGAAUCCUCAAGUGAUGGACAACCCCUCAGUUUCCAGUUAUUUGCCACUACAAAAAGAACUGCUAAAAAUAUUUUGGUACAGUCUUCUUGUAUGGCUUCAAGUGACAGAAUGCUGCAGUCUCUGAAGAAUUAAAAUUGUGUGUCAUCUAAAGGGCAGUGAAGAAGUGCAUGGUGGACACAAACUGUCUAUAAUACAUUGUAAAAAAAGGAAUUAUGCAGAAGAAGCAGUGUGAUGAAUGUCAUCAAAGAAAUGGAUGAUUGAAAAAGAAGUUGGGCCAGUCUCAUGGGGAGAGUGAGAGAUGACUGACUGAUGGAUAGCUCUUGUGCUCCAUAAAAGUCUUUCUCCCUCUGUAUGCAGGGUCCAGUGCCAAAGCUGAGGAAGGUGACUGAUCCCAAUUUGUUAUGCAGUUGUCAUUCAUUGCUUAAUUAAUAAAAAUGCUCAGAUGCUCGAACUUU
RNAcentral lists this long non-coding RNA (602 nucleotides) under Monodelphis domestica (gray short-tailed opossum). RNAcentral's name for it is "lncRNA (ENSMODG00000043016.1)". The record is from RNAcentral. Lineage: Eukaryota; Metazoa; Chordata; Mammalia; Didelphimorphia; Didelphidae.